GCAACAGACCAGCGAGGAUGAGAAAUGGUGCGUGGCAGUGGUGAGUGGUGACCCUGGCCAGUCUUUGCUGGGGUGGUGCGUGAGGCGGAGUGAUGCAGGGCGCGCUGGUGCCUGUGAAGGACUUUUGGCACAGAAAUUUCGUAUCGUCAGCAUUGAGACUUGUAUCAACACGCUCCAGAUGUCUUUUAGGGAGAGGAGGAGGAGGAAGAGAAAGACAAAGGAACACAAAGAAGAACUAACGACAGCAGACCAGAAAUAUCUAACACACACUAAGAGAGAGGAACACAAAGGAUGAACAAACAGCAACAGACCUGCUGGCCACAACGAGGAUAUUUGUGGCCUACUACACUGUCGGAUAUAAAGUUCGAGAGCAGCUGCUGGACAUGACGGAGCAGAAAUGCCACGUGUACCUCGGUGGGAUCCAGACCAUGCACUACAGAACAUUCGAAGACAAGAUAGGACUUCCAGGAAUGCUGGGCACUGUAGUAGGGGAUGUGAAACCCUUCUGUGGGAGCCGGAAGAUAGGACUUCCAGGAAUGCUGGGCACUGUAGUAGGGGAUAUGAAACCCUUCUGUGGGAGGCAGGAGGGAUGUGUGACAGUGUUUGGGAGGCAGGAGGGAUGUGUGACAGCAUCUGGAAUGUGCAGGCUGGGUGUUGAAAGCUAUGGGUUAGAGAGUUUGACCUCCACUGAAGUGUAAGGGUGUUGGAACUUGUUAGGGAAAGGAUGAGAAGAGAAUAAGAGAAUAAGAGCAGGCAAGGAUGGAGUGAUGGAGUCUGUGACGGAAGGGAUAAGAGGUGAAUGAGAGAAUUUGAACAAGUAAGGAUGGAAACAAAUAAAGGAUGGAGUGAUGGAGUGUGUGAGGGAGAGGAUAGGAAGGGAAUAAGAAGACUUAAACAUGCAAGGAUGGAAAUAAAUGAAGGAUGGAGUAUGUGAAGGAGACAAGAUGAGAGAAAGAAAAUUAGAACAUUCAAGGUGGAAACAGAUAGAGGAUGGAGUGAUGGAGUGUGUGAUGAAGAGGAAGAGGACAAGGGAAGAAUCAGAGGGUUGGAGCAUGGAUGGAGGAAAUACAAGGACAGGAAUAAACAGAUGGAUAAAUGAAUAGAGAAAGUAAAGGAGGCUUGGAAAAUAUUAAACUGUUGAGGAAAUGUAGGAGAGCUGGAAAGUACUUGAUAGAAUAAUGACAUUACAAAAAGUAAUUAGUGACGUGACAGAUCUGGUGAUAUAAAAGAAGUUGAAAAUGAAUGAAAAUAUUGAUGAUGCUAUUGUUAAUGAUGUGUUGAUUGUAAUGCAGCACAAUCUGCCACCAGGAAAGCCUUUAGGUUGUUGAGAAAUGAGCCAAGAAUCUUCAAGGAGAC
Molecule: RNA transcript, 1356 nt
Organism: Scylla paramamosain (green mud crab)
Lineage: Eukaryota; Metazoa; Arthropoda; Malacostraca; Decapoda; Portunidae
Exons: 3
Source: RefSeq, a predicted model, not a curated record